This is a long non-coding RNA of Aethalodelphis obliquidens (Pacific white-sided dolphin), 374 nucleotides long. RefSeq lists it as uncharacterized. Lineage: Eukaryota; Metazoa; Chordata; Mammalia; Artiodactyla; Delphinidae. The record is from RefSeq and is a predicted model, not a curated record. The transcript has 3 exons.
GGUCUGCAGGAAGCCCUUUGAGGAUGAAACCUUGAGAGAUGGCCAGGUUUAAGAAUAACCUGGAGAAGAAGAGACAUGGAUAGGUUGAUUAGAGGGGACAAUUUACAAAGAAGUGUGAAGGGAAGAGGAAGACCACAAAGGAAUAAUGCAAGUGUCCAGAGCUGGAAGCAGUAGAAGCUGUUAUCAACCCUACGCCCAAAGGACAAGAGGACAGAGAGGUUGCCGGAACUCUGAAGGUACCUGAUAAAAUUCAUCAGUGAAGCCAUCUGAGCCUGGAGUCUUCUUUGAGGCAAGAUUUUAAAUUACUAAUUCAAUUUCAUUAGUAGGUAUAAGAUUAUUUGGGUUUUCUAUUUCUUGGUAUGUCAGUUUGACAA